UCUGGUAGCCUUCGGUUGCCCGAGUUGUAAUCUAGAGAAGUGUUUUCCGCGUUGGCCCAUGUACAAGUCCCUUGGAACAGGGCGUCAUAGAGGGUGAGAAUCCCGUCCUUGACAUGGACCCCCAAUGCUUUGUGAUACACUUUCAACGAGUCGAGUUGUUUGGGAAUGCAGCUCAAAAUGGGUGGUGAAUUCCAUCUAAAGCUAAAUAUUGGCGAGAGACCGAUAGCGAACAAGUACCGUGAGGGAAAGAUGAAAAGCACUUUGGAAAGAGAGUUAAACAGUACGUGAAAUUGUUGAAAGGGAAACGAUUGAAGUCAGUCAUGCUCUUUGGAUUAAGCCGUUCUGCGGUGUAUUUCAUUGAGCGGGGUCAACAUCAGUUUUGAUCGCUGGAAAAGGGCAGGAGGAAGGUAGCACUCUCGGGUGAACUUAUAGCCUCUUGUCGUAUACAGUGAUUGGGACUGAGGAACGCAGCAUGCCUUUUGGCCGGGAUUCGUCCACGUACAUGCUUAGGAUGUUGACAUAAUGGCUUUAAACGACCCGUCUUGA
Molecule: ribosomal RNA, 546 nt
Filed under: Naganishia globosa
Lineage: Eukaryota; Fungi; Basidiomycota; Tremellomycetes; Filobasidiales; Filobasidiaceae
Description: eukaryotic LSU rRNA
Rfam family: Eukaryotic large subunit ribosomal RNA
Source: RNAcentral